CUGCUGGCACGUAGUUAGCCGUGGCUUGCUUUUCCGGUACCGUCAAUGCAGUUUGUUCUUCGCACUCUGCCUUUUCGUCCCGGAUCACAGAGUUUUACAACCCGAAGGCCGUCAUCACUCACGCGGCGUUGCUCCGUCAGGCUUUCGCCCAUUGCG
This 156-nucleotide ribosomal RNA is filed under the name uncultured Bacillota bacterium. RNAcentral describes it as "uncultured Firmicutes bacterium partial 16S ribosomal RNA". Lineage: Bacteria; Bacillati; Bacillota. The record is from RNAcentral.